This 492-nucleotide ribosomal RNA is filed under the name uncultured bacterium. RNAcentral's name for it is "partial 16S ribosomal RNA". It matches the Rfam family "Bacterial small subunit ribosomal RNA", at positions 29 to 507 of the family's 1533-position model. The record is from RNAcentral.
AGUGAACGCUGGCGGUAGGCCUAACACAUGCAAGUCGAACGGCAGCACAGUAAGAACUUGCUCUUACGGGUGGCGAGUGGCGGACGGGUGAGGAAUACAUCGGAAUCUACUUUUUCGUGGGGGAUAACGUAGGGAAACUUACGCUAAUACCGCAUACGACCUACGGGUGAAAGCAGGGGAUCUUCGGACCUUGCGCGAUUGAAUGAGCCGAUGUCGGAUUAGCUAGUUGGCGGGGUAAAGGCCCACCAAGGCGACGAUCCGUAGCUGGUCUGAGAGGAUGGUCAGCCACACUGGAACUGAGACACGGUCCAGACUCCUACGGGAGGCAGCAGUGGGGAAUAUUGGACAAUGGGCGCAAGCCUGAUCCAGCCAUACCGCGUGGGUGAAGAAGGCCUUCGGGUUGUAAAGCCCUUUUGUUGGGAAAGAAAAGCAGCAGGUUAAUACCCCGCUGUUCUGACGGUACCCAAAGAAUAAGCACCGGCUAACUUCGUG